Molecule: ribosomal RNA, 431 nt
Filed under: uncultured bacterium
Lineage: Bacteria
Description: partial 16S ribosomal RNA
Rfam family: Bacterial small subunit ribosomal RNA
Source: RNAcentral
ACGAACGCUGGCGGCAUGCCUAACACAUGCAAGUCGCACGAGACCUUCGGGUCUAGUGGCGCACGGGUGCGUAACGCGUGGGAACCUGCCCUUAGGUUCGGAAUAACUCCCCGAAAGGGGUGCUAAUACCGGAUAAUGUCUUCGGACCAAAGAUUUAUCGCCUUUGGAUGGGCCCGCGUUGGAUUAGCUAGUUGGUAGGGUAAAAGCCUACCAAGGCGACGAUCCAUAGCUGGUCUGAGAGGAUGAUCAGCCACACUGGGACUGAGACACGGCCCAGACUCUACCGGAAGCCAGAGGUGGGGAAAAUGGAACAAGGGCCAAAGGCUUAACCCAGCAAGCCCGGGUGAGUAAUAAGGGCUUAGGGGUUGAAAGCCCCUUUUCCCCGGAAUAUUAUGACAGUACCGGGAGAAUAAGCUCCGGCUAACUCCGUG